This is a long non-coding RNA of Canis lupus familiaris (dog), 1194 nucleotides long. RefSeq lists it as uncharacterized. Lineage: Eukaryota; Metazoa; Chordata; Mammalia; Carnivora; Canidae. The transcript is spliced from 6 exons. The record is from RefSeq and is a predicted model, not a curated record.
GGGGGGCGGGGCGGGCCCGCGCGGCGGGAGUCACGACCGUCCCCCGGAAGGAGGGGACUGUCCGCACGAUGUCCUCUGUGAAGCGCCUCCGCUUCAGAAACUGUCAUUUUGUGCUGCUAGAAAUGGCUGCGGGCAAGUUGAUCCGAACGUUGAGCCCCGUGACGUUGCUGCCUGGUGGCUCCUGGGGAAUGUGUUUAUGGUUUUGUUGUGCUCCGUGGCCGGGGGCCUGAAGAAAGAGCACAAAUCAAGGGAGAGGGAGAGAGAAUCUCAAGCUGGGUCCUCCUUGAACAUGGAGCUUGACUCGGGUCUCCAUCCCAUGACCCUGAGAGCACCACCUAAGCAGAAACCAGGAGUGGGACUUAACCGACUCAGCAACCCAGGUGCCCGCUGUGUGGAUCUUCUAAAGCAGUGCACUGAAAACAGAAUUUGUGGCAAGUCCAGGCUUGUCCUCUAGCAGCUGCUCUUCUGCCAAGAAAGAUUCCUGCAGCACACCCUCAUCUAGAUCUGCUCCCUCAGUCUUGUUCUGACAAUGUUUCCAGGGGUCGGUUGGUGAGACUUGGCGUGGAAGAACAAUGUGAGAAGAGGGAUUCAUCAGAAUGUUCUAGAAGCUCUGAGUUUCACAGACCGCUGCCCCUGCCAAAUUGUCAGCCUGGUGGAGGCCAAAAGAGGCGGCCAACCCUGGAGCACCUGACUUUGCUGCUUAAAACUCAAGUCCUGACCCAGGCCCAACCCUACCACCCCGUUCUGGCUGACCCUGGGUGAUCUCUGCUGUUGGAGUUCGGAAGAGCUAGGGGUCCUGAGGGACUCAGAAGACCCUUGUAUUGCUGCACUGACCCUCAUGAACCUCUUCUGGCCUAGGGCCUCUGGAGCAGGUGCUGGCUGAGGCAGUCUGUGUGUGCCAGCCUGGGGGAGGGAGAAGCCAUGUGAUGACAAAGGCAGACUGAAUUUAUGCAGCUUUGAGCCCAGGAAUGCCAACGAUUGCAGAAAAACACCGGAAGCCAGGAAGGAGCGAGGAGGGGUUCCUCUGUAGCUUUCAGAGGGAACGUGGCUCUGCCGACACCUUGGUUUGGGAUUUCUGGCCUCCAGAACUGUGAGAUGAUAAAUUUCCAUUGCCUUAGGCCCCCCAGCCCAAGGCGCUUUGUUACAGCAGCUCCAGGAACCUAAUAAAGGUCGAACAGAGAUGCGUGAAAAUGA